UACGGGGGGGGCAAGCGUUGUUCGGAAUUACUGGGCGUAAAGGGCUCGUAGGCGGCCAACUAAGUCAUACGUGAAAUCCCCCGGCUUAACCGGGGAACUGCGUCUGAUACUGGAUGGCUUGAGUUCGGGAGAGGGAUGCGGAAUUCCAGGUGUAGCGGUGAAAUGCGUAGAUAUCUGGAGGAACACCGGUGGCGAAGGCGGCAUCCUGGACCGAUACUGACGCUGAGGAGCGAAAGCCAGGGGAGCAAAGCGGG
This 254-nucleotide ribosomal RNA is filed under the name uncultured bacterium. RNAcentral describes it as "partial 16S ribosomal RNA". It matches the Rfam family "Bacterial small subunit ribosomal RNA", at positions 524 to 777 of the family's 1533-position model. The record is from RNAcentral.